ACAAGCGGUGGAGUAUGUGGUUUAAUUCGAUGCAACGCGAAGAACCUUACCUGGUCUUGACAUCCCGGAGACCCUUAGGAAACUAGGGGGUGCUUCCAUCUGGAAGAAUCUGGAGACAGGUGCUGCAUGGCUGUCGUCAGCUCGUGUCGUGAGAUGUUGGGUUAAGUCCCGCAACGAGCGCAACCCUUGCCUUUAGUUGCCAGCAGUUCGGCUGGGCACUCUAAAGGGACUGCCGGUGUUAAACCGGAGGAAGGUGGGGAUGACGUCAAGUCCUCAUGGCCUUUAUGACCAGGGCUACACACGUACUACAAUGGCCGAUACAAAGGGCAGCGACACUGCGAGGUGAAGCCAAUCCCGUAAAAUCGGUCUCAGUCCGGAUUGGAGUCUGCAACUCGACUCCAUGAAGUUGGAAUCGCUAGUAAUCGCGCAUCAGCCAUGGCGCGGUGAAUACGUUCCCGGGCCUU
Molecule: ribosomal RNA, 464 nt
Filed under: uncultured Desulfobulbus sp.
Lineage: Bacteria; Pseudomonadati; Thermodesulfobacteriota; Desulfobulbia; Desulfobulbales; Desulfobulbaceae
Description: bacterial SSU rRNA
Rfam family: Bacterial small subunit ribosomal RNA
Source: RNAcentral